RNAcentral lists this ribosomal RNA (493 nucleotides) under Crassostrea brasiliana. RNAcentral's name for it is "partial 16S ribosomal RNA". It matches the Rfam family "Bacterial large subunit ribosomal RNA", at positions 1827 to 2596 of the family's 2925-position model. Lineage: Eukaryota; Metazoa; Mollusca; Bivalvia; Ostreida; Ostreidae. The record is from RNAcentral.
AUCGCUAAAAGUAGUUGAUUUUUAGUAGUACCUGCCCAGUGCGUAUUAUCUUGUUAACGGCCGCCUUAGCGUGAGGGUGCUAAGGUAGCGAAAUUCCUUGCCUUUUAAUUGUAGGCCAGCAUGAAUGGUUUGACGAGGGCCUCACUGUCUCUUAGUUCUAUGUUGAAAUUGUAGUGUAGGUGAAGAUACCUUCAUAAAAAAGUAAGACAAAAAGACCCCGUGCAACUUUGAAAAUUAAGCUAGAUUAAAUGGCAAAAGAUUUUUAGGUGGGGCGCCAAAAGAGGAAACUAUAACCUCUGCUGUUUAAGCUAAUUCUUACUGGAGUUGACCUGACUUAAGUCGAUCAAAGGAGAAGUUACGCCGGGGAUAACAGGCCAAUUCUUUAGUAAAGCUCGUAUUAACUAAAGGGCUUGGCACCUCGAUGUUGAAUCAGGGAUUAUAGCUUCAAGGCGUAGAUGCUUUGAUUAGUAGGUCUGUUCGACCUUUGAAACCC